CUUGUGACCUGGCAUCCUGGAGUUUGCCCAGCUGGACUUGUGACACUUGUCCAGUACCGUGCCCUGUGCAGCACUGACAUCAAUAUCCAUGUGUCCACCUAAGUGUUCACCCUCCAGGGGCUCAACAGGAUGGAACUGUUACCAUCGGGCUCAGCAGUGUGACAGGCUUUUCCUGACUCUACCACCUGGCUACAUUCACCUAUCAAGCUGGUCAACUCCUUCCUGUUGCUGGAACUAUUGAGAAAUCUGCUGGACUUCAUCUGGCCACUGGCGCAUGGUGACCAUAUGCAUGGGCAGGCCAGAAGUGCCUCAAAAGUGAUAACCUCAGAAACAACCUCAACCACUGGAGAACCAGAAUUCACGGAUAAAUUCCCCAGCUUCCUCACUCCUCUGCAAGGCACUUCUGAGGUGUGUCUCACACAGUCUCUCAGUGGGUUCCCAUCAGGAUUGAGCCCCAGUCACCCACAGAGGUAGCCCUCUCAUUAAUGAACCACUCAUCGGCUUUUCUCCCUUCCCUAUUACACUUCCGCACUCCCUUACUCUACUUCCUUGGGUCACCUCCAAAUAAACUACCUGCACUAAAAUUGCUUGUCUCAGAAUUUGCUAUUGGAAGAACCUAAACCAAGACACACAGGGAAAGCCCACAUCAUGAUAAAGCAGCCACAGCUUCAAACAUCAUUGGUAGGGCUAUCCCUGUUUAUCAGGAGACCUCACCAUAGACACCAUCAACUCAGAGCAGAGCAAAGUAGGCAGAUGCAAG
This 760-nucleotide long non-coding RNA is filed under the name Homo sapiens (human). RNAcentral describes it as "HSALNT0212697". The record is from RNAcentral. Lineage: Eukaryota; Metazoa; Chordata; Mammalia; Primates; Hominidae.